Molecule: ribosomal RNA, 253 nt
Filed under: uncultured bacterium
Lineage: Bacteria
Description: partial 16S ribosomal RNA
Rfam family: Bacterial small subunit ribosomal RNA
Source: RNAcentral
GACGGAAGGUGCAAGCGUUGCUCGGAAUCACUGGGCGUAAAGGGUGCGUAGGCGGCCGUUCAAGUCUGGCGUGAAAGCCCCGGGCUCAGCCCGGGAAGUGCGCUCGAAACUGCGCGGCUCGAGUGCCGGAGGGGAGAGUGGAAUUCCUGGUGUAGCGGUGAAAUGCGUAGAUAUCAGGAGGAAUACCGGUGGCGAAAGCGACUCUCUGGACGGCAACUGACGCUGAGGCACGAAAGCGUGGGGAGCAAACAGG